This 253-nucleotide ribosomal RNA is filed under the name uncultured bacterium. Its description in RNAcentral is "partial 16S ribosomal RNA". It matches the Rfam family "Bacterial small subunit ribosomal RNA", at positions 524 to 776 of the family's 1533-position model. The record is from RNAcentral.
UACGAAGGACCCGAGCGUUAUCCGGAUUUAUUGGGUUUAAAGGGUGCGUAGGCGGACUUACAAGUCAGUGGUGAAAUCUCCCCGCUCAACGGGGAAACUGCCAUUGAAACUAUUUGUCUUGAGUACAUUUGAGGCGGGCGGAAUGUGUCAUGUAGAGGUGAAAUUCUUAGAUAUGACACAGAACACCAAUUGCGAAGGCAGCUCGCUAAACUGUAACUGACGCUGAGGCACGAAAGCGUGGGUAGCAAACAGG